Molecule: ribosomal RNA, 445 nt
Filed under: uncultured bacterium
Lineage: Bacteria
Description: partial 16S ribosomal RNA
Rfam family: Bacterial small subunit ribosomal RNA
Source: RNAcentral
GUGAGGAAUAUUGGUCAAUGGGCGAGAGCCUGAACCAGCCAAGUCGCGUGAAGGAAGAAGGAUCUAUGGUUCGUAAACUUCUUUUGCAGGGGAAUAAAGUGCAGGACGUGUCCUGUUUUGUAUGUACCCUGAGAAUAAGGAUCGGCUAACUCCGUGCCAGCAGCCGCGGUAAUACGGAGGAUCCGAGCGUUAUCCGGAUUUAUUGGGUUUAAAGGGUUCGUAGGUGGUUUGUUAAGUCAGCGGUGAAAGUUUGCUGCUUAACUGUAAAAAUGCCGUUGAAACUGGCGGACUUGAGUGUAAAUGAGGUAGGCGGAAUGCGUGGUGUAGCGGUGAAAUGCAUAGAUAUCACGCAGAACUCCGAUUGCGAAGGCAGCUUACUAAGCUACAACUGACACUGAAGCACGAAAGCGUGGGGAUCAAACAGGAUUAGAAACUCUUGUAGUCC